GGGAUGCACUGAAAUUCCUGCCUGAUGCUUCCUGACGUUUCCCUGGCUCUCCCUCCCUCAUGGCCGGAGUGGAAAAGCACGUUUAAAUCCCGAACUCGGCUUUCCCACGUGGUGUCUCGCUGAGCUGCUGUCACAGCCACGCCGCGCUCUCACAGGGCACCGGAGCUUCUGCCCUGCCCUGCCGGGAAGGCACAAGCAGGCUCCAACUCUCUCUCCUGCUGAACUUGCCGGGAACAAAAGGCUCCGUUCCCGAUCCAGCCCGCAGUUGCCGUGAGAAACUUCCUCGCCAGCGCUGUCUGUCGCUCCGCUCUCCCUCCCUCGCUCCCUCCCUGCCUCGGGAAAAUGGCAGUGCGAGAGCUUGAUGAAAAGGGGGAAAAAAAAACCUUCUUUCUCAGCGCCUGCCUCUCUGGCAGCAUCCCCCCUCCCCAGUCGUGACGCCUGAACUCAAACUUCUCUAAAAAUACACUUUAGGAGGGCAGAUUUUCACGGGAGGGGAUGUGUUUUUUACACCCCACUGAAAAGAGGCGCCGAGGUGGGGGAAAGGCCGAGGGACAGCUUUUUCCAGACAGGAGAACCUGCUGCUGACCCCUCCCGCACGGCUUCGCCAGGUCCCAAGGAUUUGGAACACAAUAAGUUUUCCUUCAGUGGGAAAAUCCAGGCCCAGAGUUCAGAUCUUUCUCUUUUUGCAGAUUUAAAAGCCUUUUUCCCCCCCCUUUUUUAACUCUUCACAGUGGGGUUCACAGCAGAACGCGGUCGCUCUGCCAACCCACCCGAGAGCUCCCAAAUCUGGUGGGAUCCAGGGAAAACAGAAGCUUGGCUCCGGAUCCAGUGCAGGGGUUUUUGCAAACUCCAGUCCGCGUUUUGAUUUUAUUU
This is a long non-coding RNA of Passer domesticus (house sparrow), 873 nucleotides long. RefSeq lists it as uncharacterized. The transcript has 3 exons. NCBI's taxonomy places the organism in Eukaryota, Metazoa, Chordata, Aves, Passeriformes, Passeridae. The record is from RefSeq and is a predicted model, not a curated record.